RNAcentral lists this long non-coding RNA (1190 nucleotides) under Felis catus (domestic cat). Its description in RNAcentral is "lncRNA (ENSFCAG00000053421.1)". Lineage: Eukaryota; Metazoa; Chordata; Mammalia; Carnivora; Felidae. The record is from RNAcentral.
CCCCGGAGCACAGAAGCCCCUCCUCUGUCUCUAGCAGGAACACAGUCUACAGGGCUGGGUCUCCCUGUGGGGUCAUGUGGACCCUGCUGUUACACAUCUCCCUCACUCCCUCACCGGUCGGUUUCUCCCAGAAGAAUUUCUGUAAUAAAUAUUUGCCCUAAACCCUCCUCAUCCCAAGGGCUGCUUCUGGCAAGAGAGGAAAAGGGAAGAAGCGAGUCGAGGCACACAAGAUCAGUGCAGGUGAAAAGAAGGGACAAUGCAGGGGUCCGCACGAGGAAGGCAGAUGAAAGUCUAGAAGUCCUUCCGGGACUCCUGUCUCCCCCCGCGCCUGUUUGGUGUACUGGGUGUGACGCUGGGGGGCGGGUGGAAGCUGGAUUCUCACGAGCUGGUUAUGUAGGGUGUCCCACAGGGUAAAAAAUGAUCCUCCGGGCAGACGUUGGGAACCGCCAAUGGGUGUGGGCAAAUGUUGAGCUCCCAGGUGAAAAUCUCAUGGCAGCACGGGCAACCCGGAUGAAAAGCGUUACCUGAUGUCAGGGUGGGGCUGGCUACCUCUGGUUUUCCAACAGACUUUUCAAAGGUCAGGGGAUGUUUUGUUGUAUAAAUAUUUAUAUCCCUCUGCGCUCGGCACCCCUCGCGUAUGCACGCUGCACAAGACAAGUGGAAAUCACAGGAUCUGAAGAACGGCCAGGGCACCUCUUUUUAUAGAGUAACAACCCUUCCCUGGUGCGCUGAAAAACAACGUGUGUCCACAGGAGCUGAGCUGUGACCAAAGACAUUACUUUCCUCCUUCUAUUUUUAGAAGCACUGAUUUCAAACCACACUUCGAUUCUGACACAUACAAAUACAGCCAUUUGCUGGCAGGCAUGGGUCUAGAAAGAAUAAAAUCUCCCUUCUGUGGUAUAAAAGUCCUCUGGGUGAUGCGAGGCCGGAACUGGUGGAGAGAGGCCUUCUGUCCCCGAGGAAGGUGUGGGACGCCCAGAAGCAAUGGAGUGGCCCGGGUGCGGAUAAGACACAGCUGUCCCGUCAUUGUGAUUACGAUUACGAUUGUGAGUCCAGGAGGCUCCUCGCCGAAGCACUGGUUUCACUCUUUUAAAAACAAACUCUUUCAGUCUGCCGAUGUCCCUCGCCCGGGCAUGCUAAAACACGCGAGUUACGCGUUUGCCUUAAGUGCCACGCUGAGUGGUCGCUGA